GACGAACGCUGGCGGCGUGCUUAACACAUGCAAGUCGAACGGGCCUGCCUGGCUUUGGUUGGGUGGGUGAGUGGCGAACGGGUGAGUAACACGUGAGUAACCUGCCCUCUUCUCUUGGAUAACUGCUUGAAAGGGCGGCUAAUACGGGAUGUUCUGGCUGCCUCGCAUGGGGUGGUUUGGAAAGAUUCGGCCUGGUUUUGGUUGUUUUGGUGGGGGAUGGGCUCGCGGCUUAUCAGCUUGUUGGUGGGGUGAUGGCCUACCAAGGCGGUGACGGGUAGCCGGCCUGAGAGGGUGGACGGUCACACUGGGACUGAGACACGGCCCAGACUCCUGCGGGAGGCAGCAGUGGGGGAUUUUGCACAAUGGGCGCAAGCCUGAUGCAGCGACGCCGCGUGAGGGAUGGAGGCCUUCGGGUUGUGAACCUCUGUCGCCGGUGAUGUAGGCUCUGCUUUGUGGGUGGGG
RNAcentral lists this ribosomal RNA (462 nucleotides) under Actinomyces sp. oral taxon 448. RNAcentral's name for it is "bacterial SSU rRNA". It matches the Rfam family "Bacterial small subunit ribosomal RNA", at positions 28 to 471 of the family's 1533-position model. Lineage: Bacteria; Bacillati; Actinomycetota; Actinomycetes; Actinomycetales; Actinomycetaceae. The record is from RNAcentral.